GACGAACGCUGGCGGCGUGCCUAAUACAUGCAAGUAGAACGCUGAAGAGAGGAGCUUGCUCUUCUUGGAUGAGUUGCGAACGGGUGAGUAACGCGUAGGUAACCUGCCUUGUAGCGGGGGAUAACUAUUGGAAACGAUAGCUAAUACCGCAUAACAAUGGAUGACCCAUGUCAUUUAUUUGAAAGGGGCAAAUGCUCCACUACAAGAUGGACCUGCGUUGUAUUUGCUAGUAGGUGAGGUAACGGCUCACCUAGGCGACGAUACAUAGCCGACCUGAGAGGGUGAUCGGCCACACUGGGACUGAGACACGGCCCAGACUCCUACGGGAGGCAGCAGUAGGGAAUCUUCGGCAAUGGGGGCAACCCUGACCGAGCAACGCCGCGUGAGUGAAGAAGGUUGUCGGAUCGUAAAGCUCUGUUGUAAGUCAAGAACGAGUGUGAGAGUGGAAAGUUCACACUGUGACGGUAGCUUACCAGAAAGGGACGGCUAACUACGUG
RNAcentral lists this ribosomal RNA (497 nucleotides) under uncultured bacterium. RNAcentral's name for it is "partial 16S ribosomal RNA". It matches the Rfam family "Bacterial small subunit ribosomal RNA", at positions 28 to 507 of the family's 1533-position model. The record is from RNAcentral.